Molecule: long non-coding RNA, 748 nt
Organism: Oncorhynchus tshawytscha (Chinook salmon)
Lineage: Eukaryota; Metazoa; Chordata; Actinopteri; Salmoniformes; Salmonidae
Source: Ensembl
CUGGUUCUAUACAGGGUUGAGGAAGGCUGGUUCUGUACAGGGCUGAGGAGUAAAGGUUCUAUAGAGGGCUGAGGAGUAAAGGUUCUAUAGAGGGCUGAGGAGUAAAGGUUCUAUAGAGGGCUGAGGAGUAAAGGUUCUAUAGAGGACUGAGGAGUAAAGGUUCUAUACAGGGCUGAGGAGUAGGUUCUAUACAUGGCUGAGGAGUAAAGGUUCUAUAGAGGGCUGAGGAGUAAAGGUUCUAUACAGGGCUGAGGAGUAGGUUCUAUACAGGGCUGAGGAGUAAAGGUUCUAUAGAGGGCUGGUUCUAUAGAGGGCUGAGGAGUAAAGGUUCUAUACAGGGCUGAGGAGGGCUGGUUCUAUACAGGGUUGAGGAGUAAAGGUUCUAUACAGGGCUGGUUCUAUAUAGGGCUGGGGAGGGAUGGUUCUAUACAGGGCUGGUUCCAUACAGGGCUGGGGAGGGAUGGUUCUAUACAGGGAUGGGGAGGGAUGGUUCUAUACAGGGCUGGUUCUAUACAAGGCUGGUUCUAUACAGGGCUGGGGAGGGAUGGUUCUAUACAGGGCUGGGGAGGGCUGGUUCUAUACAGGGCUGGUUCUAUACAGGGCUGGGGAGGGAUGGUUCUAUACAGGGCUGGUUCUAUACAGGGCUGGGGAGGGAUGGUUCUAUACAGGGCUGGUUCUAUACAGGGCUGGUUCUAUACAGGGCUGGGGAGGGCUGGUUCUAUACAGGGCUGGGGAGGGAUGGUUCUAU